UACGUAGGGUGCGAGCGUUGUCCGGAAUUACUGGGCGUAAAGAGCUCGUAGGCGGUCUGUCGCGUCGGCUGUGAAAACCCGAGGCUCAACCUCGGGCCUGCAGUCGAUACGGGCAGACUAGAGUGCUGUAGGGGAGACUGGAAUUCCUGGUGUAGCGGUGAAAUGCGCAGAUAUCAGGAGGAACACCGGUGGCGAAGGCGGGUCUCUGGGCAGUAACUGACGCUGAGGAGCGAAAGCGUGGGGAGCAAACAGG
This 253-nucleotide ribosomal RNA is filed under the name uncultured bacterium. RNAcentral describes it as "partial 16S ribosomal RNA". It matches the Rfam family "Bacterial small subunit ribosomal RNA", at positions 524 to 776 of the family's 1533-position model. The record is from RNAcentral.